RNAcentral lists this ribosomal RNA (404 nucleotides) under Fusobacteriota bacterium. Its description in RNAcentral is "Fusobacteria bacterium partial 16S ribosomal RNA". It matches the Rfam family "Bacterial small subunit ribosomal RNA", at positions 355 to 776 of the family's 1533-position model. Lineage: Bacteria; Fusobacteriati; Fusobacteriota. The record is from RNAcentral.
UGGGGAAUAUUGCACAAUGGAGGGAACUCUGAUGCAGCGACGCCGCGUGAGUGAUGAAGGAAUUCGUUUCGUAAAACUCUGUUCUAUGGGAAGAAAAGGACUGUACCAUAGGAGAAAGCUCCGGCUAAAUACGUGCCAGCAGCCGCGGUAAUACGUAUGGAGCGAGCGUUGUCCGGAAUUAUUGGGCGUAAAGGGUGCGCAGGCGGCUUUACAAGUUGGAUGUGAAAUAUUGUGGCUCAACCACAAACGUGCAUCCAAAACUACAAAGCUUGAGUUAAGGAGAGGUAAGUGGAAUUCCUGGUGUAGCGGUGGAAUGCGUAGAUAUCAGGAGGAAUACCGGUGGCGAAGGCGACUUACUGGACUUAAACUGACGCUCAGGCACGAAAGCGUGGGGAGCAAACAGG